This 294-nucleotide long non-coding RNA is filed under the name Setaria viridis. RNAcentral's name for it is "long non-coding RNA (SVIR_LNC008889)". Lineage: Eukaryota; Viridiplantae; Streptophyta; Magnoliopsida; Poales; Poaceae. The record is from RNAcentral.
GCUGGCCGCACCAUCUUGGUACACUCCAUAACUAGUUAUGCAUCGACCCAUAUACUACGAUAAUAUCUCUUUAGGUACCUUCUGUUCAAGGCCCUUGUGAAUUCCUCUCCUUCGAUCAUCUCCAGUAUGUAUGCGUUUCCCGGAGCGCAUCGGCCAAUUUUAUAUGGCCCUUCCCAAGUGGGCGACCAUUUACCGAACUUGGGAUCUUUAGACCCUAUCGACAACACCAACUUCCAUACCAAAUCUCCUUGGGAGAAUUGCUUGACUUUGACCUUCUUGUCGUACCACCUGGCC